GAUCGAAUACAUGGAUAAACAAAAAGAAAAAGGGUUCUUCGACGUGUUUAUGAGACUGCUUAUUUCGUUGCAUGGAAAAAACUCAUCUAUGGAAACAUGAAAAUCAAAAGGCAAUCAAAUAUUUAUUCCCAGGGACUUCUUGAGCUUCUCAACUUCCAAAUAUACUGUUGAGUAUGGAAGGAACUCCGAGGCAAUCAAAUAUUUAUUCCCAGGGACUUCUUGAGCUUCUCAACUUCCAAAUAUACUGUUGAGUAUGGAAGGAACUCCGAGAAAUGUUCUUUGCUCAGGUCAUUGAUUGCUACCGCGAGUUUAGGGAUUUCUAAGGUUUCUUCAUGGGU
This 338-nucleotide long non-coding RNA is filed under the name Gossypium raimondii (Peruvian cotton). Its description in RNAcentral is "long non-coding RNA (GRAI_LNC000078)". The record is from RNAcentral. Lineage: Eukaryota; Viridiplantae; Streptophyta; Magnoliopsida; Malvales; Malvaceae.